GGAGCUGGUUUUUGAAAGUCGGAGUCAGAGUCGGAGUCGGAGUCGCCGUAAAUCCAUCGACUCCGCAGCCCUGUGUAGCAGCUUCACGUUCUGACACGCCGCGCUGCACUGAUGUUACUACCAGCAAGACUGUCCAGUGAUCUUCUGAAGAAGUUGACUGUUGAACCGCAAACACCGUUGGCCGCUUUUGACGCUAUCUAUACUACAGAGACCCAUUCCGGCUCCGAAAUGUUCAUGCAGACUCGUGGACGACAGUCCGGUGGUGUCCUGUGGACGAAGAUAGCAAAGCAUCUACGUGGAUGGCGCGCUGGGCGGCUCGUCCGUCGCGUUACAAGACUGUGGCCUCUCUGCGCGUCACAAGACUUUUGUGUGUGGCCUCUCUGCGUGCCGCAAGACCAGGUGGACUCGCCGCUGCGUUGGCUAUGGCGGGGGCCGGCGGCGGUGUGCAACGCGACUGCUGUGUGGCCUCUCAGUCUGCGUGCCGCGCCGCUGCGCUGGCUGUGGCGGGAGCCGGCGGCGGCGGUGCUCUGCAAAAUACCAACUGGAGCGGUCGAGCGAAUGACUCAAGGCUUCCGGACGUCAUCGGGGAUCCUGGACAUGGCUUUGCAAAUCAUGCAGAUCAGAUCUGCGCUUCCUAUCGAGUCUUGCCCCUGCGGAGGUGAUGCGGCGCCAAGCCGCCGAGGCGUCCUGACCGGCGGGCUUGUCACCCAAAGCUUAACGGAGGCAUGGUGGCGCUAAGGACGGUCGGCGCGGCACGGUCUGUCACGGGAUUGACAGUGUUGCAUGGAGUGAACCCUUUGGUGGAAAUAGGGUGCUGGUCGGGGUGAUAACCUAACUUUGAAUGCGAUAGUUGCGAGGAUGAUCAGAUGAUAGAUAAGAGCGGGAAGCGGGGAGGAAUUACACCGGUGCUAGGUUAAGUUCGUUAUGAUCAAAGUAUAACUGUGAUAAUUGUACGAUUCAUUUGCUGUGCAGUUGGUCAUUGUGACGUUCAUCCCCCCUCUCCCGUAGCCGUAUGUAUGAGAACGAUAGUUCCGGUGAGUUUUAACUAACAUUUGUUAUCUAUCAUGAUGGAUGUAUUUGUUUGGCGGACUUGUCUGUACUUUAAACGCGACCUGUGUGCUUCCCCUACCGCGAUAUUACUGAUAUACCUAUUCGAAUGCCAUGAAUUUCACGCAUCAGACGUAACUGUGGUGACUUUAUUGUGAACAUAAGUUACUACGAUUGGCGGGCAACACAUCCCCACUAUAUAGUUUUGGUGACCAAUGAUCAUUCAUAUUCGUGAUCGUGGUAACCUCGGUAAUUUGCCGUUUGUGAGACUGUUCGGCGCGGUGAGAGCUGUAUCUGCAGAGCUGAGUUCGGACCGAGCAUGUUGGUUCUGCGCUGUUGGUUGCUACUCUGUGCUCGUGGUAAAUUCACAUCAUUUAUAAUUGAAUGACAACUCAAGUUUCGCCUCAGUUUUGCGUGUGAGUGCUGAAGCUUAGUU
This is a long non-coding RNA of Amphibalanus amphitrite, 1483 nucleotides long. RefSeq lists it as uncharacterized. The transcript has 2 exons. Lineage: Eukaryota; Metazoa; Arthropoda; Thecostraca; Balanomorpha; Balanidae. The record is from RefSeq and is a predicted model, not a curated record.